GCAUGUCUUCGCCUCCCGGCUUUUGUCCUACCACUACUUCUGCUCUUUGCCUUCUCACUUAUGAGCACCAAAACAAUGGUUGCAGGGGCUCGCUUUCUUCUCGAGACUUCCUUGCCUCAAGUGCCCGAGCUUCCAAAGCCUGAGCUGCCACAAUUGCCCAAGCCUGAGCUUCCACAUUUGCCAAAGCCUGAGCUGCCACAAGUGCCUAAGCCUGAGCUUCCACAACUUCCUAAGCCUGAGCUUCCACAGUUGCCAAAGCCCGAGCUGCCACCGCUUCCUAAGCCUGAGCUACCGCAGUUUCCAAAGCCUGAGCUACCGCAGUUUCCAAAGCCUGAGCUGCCACCAUUGGCUAAACCCGAAAUACCAUCAGCACCUCAUGUCCCAACUUUGCCAAAGGAAGGCCAUAAGUUGGCUGAAAUACCACAUGCCCCAACCUUGCAUGAGUUACCUCAACUUCCAAAGCCUGAAUUGCCACCAC
RNAcentral lists this long non-coding RNA (478 nucleotides) under Prunus persica (peach). Its description in RNAcentral is "long non-coding RNA (PPER_LNC008210)". The record is from RNAcentral. Lineage: Eukaryota; Viridiplantae; Streptophyta; Magnoliopsida; Rosales; Rosaceae.